UACGAAGGGGGCUAGCGUUGCUCGGAAUCACUGGGCGUAAAGCGCACGUAGGCGGAUUGUUAAGUCAGGGGUGAAAUCCGGGAGCUCAACUCCAGAACUGCCUUUGAUACUGGCGAUCUCGAGUCCGGGAGAGGUGAGUGGAACUGCGAGUGUAGAGGUGAAAUUCGUAGAUAUUCGCAAGAACACCAGUGGCGAAGGCGGCUCACUGGCCCGGUACUGACGCUGAGGUGCGAAAGCGUGGGGAGCAAACAGG
RNAcentral lists this ribosomal RNA (253 nucleotides) under uncultured bacterium. Its description in RNAcentral is "partial 16S ribosomal RNA". It matches the Rfam family "Bacterial small subunit ribosomal RNA", at positions 524 to 776 of the family's 1533-position model. The record is from RNAcentral.